Molecule: RNA transcript, 1534 nt
Organism: Fragaria vesca subsp. vesca
Lineage: Eukaryota; Viridiplantae; Streptophyta; Magnoliopsida; Rosales; Rosaceae
Gene name: cytochrome P450 71A25-like
Exons: 3
Source: RefSeq, a predicted model, not a curated record
AUGAUGAAUCUCCUCGAAUCAUUGCUGGAUCUAAACGAAAUCUUCUCCGUAUCGCUUGUUGCCAGUUUCCUCAUUCUCUUAUACAGAUCAUGGUCUUUCACCACUCCUACAUCAAAGAUCACCACCUUCUCCACCUAAGCUCCCAAUCAUCGGUAACCUUCACCAACUAGGGUUACAACCUCAUCGCUCACUUGAAUCCCCCUCUCAACGCCAUGGCCCUCUCAUGCUCCUCCAUUUCGGAAGCGUCCCCGUCCUCGUCGUCUCCUCCGCCGACGCCGCCCACGAGAUCAUGAAAACCCACGACCUAACUUUCUCCAACAGACCCAAGUCUGUCAUCUUCGAGAAGCUUCUUUACAACUACAAAGACGUGGCGUCGUCGCCUUACGGCGAGUAUUGGAGGCAAGUGAAGAGUACAUGUGUUCUCAAUCUUCUGAGCAACAAGAGGGUUCGGUCUUUUCGCUAUGUCAGAGAAGAGGAGACAACAUCCAUGAUCAACAAGAUAGCAUCAUCAUCUUCAAGAGCGGUGAAUUUAAGCGCAAUGUUUGCGAGGCUUGCUAAUGAUGUUGUAUGCAGGGUGGCUCUGGGGAGGAAGUACAGUAGUUCGGAUUUCAUUGAAGGUGGUCGGACUUUUAAGGAGGUUCUGUUGGAGUUUGUAGAGUUACUGGGAACGUUUAGUAUUGGGGACUUCAUUCCAUGGCUUGCUUGGUUGAAUCGUGUCAAUGGUUUGAAUGGUAAGUUGGAUAAAGUGGCUAAAGAGUUGGAUGAGUUUUUGGAUAGAGUGAUUCAAGAACAUGAAGGUGACGAUCGGUCAAGGAGUAGUGGGACUGAUUUUGUGGAUGUUUUGCUUGAGAUUCAAAAGGGGAACUUGCUUGGUUUUCCUCUUGACAUAGUUAGUAUUAAGGCUCUCAUCUUGGAUAUGUUUGCUGCUGGAACUGAUACCACAUAUACAGUCCUAGAGUGGGCAAUGACGGAGCUUUUAAGGCAUCCAAGUAUCAUGAGAAAACUGCAAAAUGAGGUACGAAGAAUAGUCGGGAACAAAUCACAAAUAACUGAGAAUGAUUUGGUCGAUAUGCGAUACUUGAAGGCAGUGAUCAAGGAGACCCUUCGUUUACAUCCUCCAAUUCCAUUAUUAGUGCCCAGAAAAUCCACUCAAGAUGUGAAAGUAAACGGCUACGACAUCAAAGCCAAUACACAAGUUAUAGUGAAUGCAUGGAAGAUCGGAAGAGAUUCCAAGUCAUACAACAAUCCUGAGGAGUACGAUCCUGAAAGGUUCUUAAACACUCAUAGGGGAAUAGAUUACAAGGGAAACGACUUUGAAUUGAUUCCAUUUGGAGCUGGAAGGAGGAUCUGUCCAGGAAUUCAGUUUGCCAUGGCUAUAAAUGAGAUUGCUUUGGCAAAUUUGGUGCACAAAUUUGACUGGGCACUACCUGCAGGUGAAGCAAAAUGUGAGGAUUUGGAUAUGAGUGAAUCCAUCGGACUAACCAUUCAUAGAAAAAUUCCUCUUAAAGUUGUUGCUAUUCCAUACUCUUGUUGA